UACAGAGGUCUCAAGCGUUGUUCGGAUUCAUUGGGCGUAAAGGGUGCGUAGGUGGCGCCGUAAGUCGGGUGUGAAAUUUCGGAGCUUAACUCCGAAACUGCAUUCGAUACUGCGGUGCUUGAGGACUGGAGAGGAGACUGGAAUUCAUGGUGUAGCAGUGAAAUGCGUAGAGAUCCGGAAGAAGACCGGUGGCGAAGGCGGUCUGCUGGCGAGUACCUGACACUGAUGCGCGACAGCGUGGGGAGCAAACAGG
RNAcentral lists this ribosomal RNA (253 nucleotides) under uncultured bacterium. RNAcentral describes it as "partial 16S ribosomal RNA". It matches the Rfam family "Bacterial small subunit ribosomal RNA", at positions 524 to 776 of the family's 1533-position model. The record is from RNAcentral.